CGGGGCGCAGCAGGCGCGAAACCUUCGCAAUGCGCGAAAGCGUGACGAGGUUAAUCCGAGUGGUUCCCGCUGAGGGAAUCUUUUGUUGGCUCUAAAAUGGCCAGUGAAUAAGGGGAGGGCAAGUCUGGUGUCAGCCGCCGCGGUAAUACCAGCUCCUCGAGUGGUCGGGGCGAUUAUUGGGCCUAAAGCAUCCGUAGCCUGUUCUGUAGGUCUUCUGUUAAAUCCAACGGCUUAACCGUUGGCCUGCAGAAGAUACCGCAGGACUAGGAGGCGGGAGAGGUGGACGGUACUCCACGUGUAGGGGUAUAAUCCUUUGAUCCGUGGAAGACCACCAGUGGCGAAGGCGGUCCACCAGAACGCGCUCGACGGUGAGGGAUGAAAGCUGGGGGAGCGAACCGGAUUAGAUACCCGGGUAGUCCCAGCCGUAAGCGAUGCGAGCUAGGUGAUCCAAUCACAAAUCUCGAUUGGAGGUACCGGAGAAGCCAGUAACUUAGCCGCGUGGGAGUACAACGCAUGAGCCAC
This 522-nucleotide ribosomal RNA is filed under the name uncultured archaeon. Its description in RNAcentral is "bacterial SSU rRNA". It matches the Rfam family "Archaeal small subunit ribosomal RNA", at positions 326 to 855 of the family's 1478-position model. The record is from RNAcentral.